This is a long non-coding RNA of Mesocricetus auratus (golden hamster), 3858 nucleotides long. RefSeq lists it as uncharacterized. The record is from RefSeq and is a predicted model, not a curated record. Lineage: Eukaryota; Metazoa; Chordata; Mammalia; Rodentia; Cricetidae. The transcript has 2 exons.
UCAUCAUUUUUUUACUGUUAGUUUUUACCCCCUUCAAGUUUGGCUUUUUAAAAAUAAUAUGAAUUUUUGCAAAGUAGUCCCCAUGGCAGUGUUUUUUUGAGGACGAUCUUAAGGGUUGUACCAGGAGACAUCUUCCUGGUGGCAUUAUGGCCUAGUUGUCUUCAAUCAAACAUUCCCAUCUGCACAUGUAAAUUUGAUACAAAAGUUUGAUUAAAGUAAUUUCUAUGACAGGAAGUGUUACAUGUUCUUAACAUGAUUCCAGACUUUCAGCUCUAGCAGCUGGUCCUCAUAGAUGUUUCUCUGUCCUUAUCCAUCUGAAACUCCUGGACUUUGAAAGUUUUUCUAAAAAUACAUAGACUGGCAAAUAUAUCACCUGUGAUAAUCCUAACAGGAAUUGUUGUUUUCUUGUGAGCGUUGUACAGUUGAGGUCUAGUUGAGGCCAUUCUCACUGGCUCCUGGGUUUUCUGCUGAUAAAGUUGUUCCUCUCCACACCCUCAUCGCUGCAGGCAGGGAGGUGCAGCCUAGGUUUCACAGUCGUCCUCAGGAGGGUGUACUCUGGUUUGCAGCCUAGGUUUCACAGUCGUCCUCAGGAGGGUGUACUCUGGUUUGCAGCCUAGGUUUCACAGUCGUCCUCAGGAGGGUGUACUCUGGUUUGCAGCCUAGGCUUCACAGCCCUCCUCAGGAGGGUGUACUCUGGUUUGCUUCGGUUGCACUGAGCACAUCACAGCUUUUAUGAUAGACCGUCUAUCAAGUUAAAAAUCCCAAGUAUAAUUAACAUUUGUUUGUCCUAAUGGGAAGUUACUACUUCUGAGUGUGAGUCCAUUUUGUUUUCAGAGGUAGGUAGGUGUGUGUGUGUACAUUUGCUUUCAGACUCCAGCAUUGUUUUAGGAAAGAAUCUGUUGCUGACUUGAGGUGUAGGAUUGUGGGACCUUGGUUUCAGGUAGAGAACUUUACACCAAAAUCUUCUGUAUUGAAGGUUUUUUUUGCUUUGUGCAAGUACACCAUAAGUAGUAAAAAUGCUAAUCUCUUUUUAUGGUGAAGUUAGGGCUGCACUUUUGUGCACAUGAUAAUUUACUCUUAAUUUCCUUACUACACAGAGGAAGGAUGUUUGUUAGCGAAGGAUUUGGGGAGAUGAUUGUUCAGUGUUUGGGGAUGGUACGGAAGCACCAUUGGACUGGGGAACAAGGCACACCAACAUUGCCAGACCUCACUGGGCCACAGCUUCUUUUGUAUUUCUAAUAUAGCCGCACAAGGAUCUCAGAGUCUGAGUCAGGGCAGUUUUCUAACCCGCCCCUCCUCUCCAUCCUCUCCUCCUGUACACGUCUCUGGCUUGGAACAAAUCUUGUCUAAUGUGCAUGGUUGUUAGGCUCCCUAAAGCUCCUAGAAAAUUGGGUGCAUUUGGCAUUUGGUCUUCACAACUUCACUGGAUGAGUAGAAAGAUUCCAUGAUCUCCAAGAGUUUGGUAGGCACUGAUUGUAAGUGUCCUGUUUGGAGUGAGUACAUGAAGCAAAUCAAAAUUGAUACACUUAAGCAGUGACUUUGGUAUGCCUAGCACUAAGAACAGUGAGUCUCCCUGCAUGCUUCUCGUUACCUCACAGGGGGGAGGUCAGGAGAGAUCAGUGCUUCCAUAAGGGAGGUGGAGAUAGGUAAGCAAGCAGCUUUUAAUGUGGGGCUCUUCGCUUCUCAUUAUCUGUGUCUAUAACUUUUAAAUCAAAAUCUGAAAAUGGAAGGUUUAGAAUUUGAUAUAACAGUGGAAACUAUUUUAUUAAAGUAAAUACUUUAAACUAACAUGGAAUAGUCUAGUUCCAGUUAACAGAAGGAAAAUCUUGUGUGUGACUUCAGUCAGACAUCUGGAAACAUGCUGGGCCUUGUGGCACUGUGUUCCAAGAACUCGGGAGGCUGAGGUCCAAGGAUCUUGAGUUGGAAGCCAGCCUGAGCUACGUAGUGAGUCCCUGUCUCACUCUUGAAAAAAGAUGGUCACGUAAAUCUUGACCUUUCAGAGAAAUGAGUUUUGGUUUUCUUCUUGUUACAAUGGUUUAAUAUGAAAAUGUCCUUGACAUCAUUUUUACAUUGUAGUAAAGAAAGCCCUUGCGAGAGGUGAAUGGGUUUCUCCCCUGGACUGCCUGCCAUUGCGCUCAUUCCAAGGCCUGUCCUGUGUGUGGCGUAGUGGUACUGCCCCUCACAUUCCCACCAUUCCAGCAUUCCCCUCUUGCCUUCACUUGCCAUUUCACACUGUCACCUGUCACAAGAAUCAAAAAGGAAUCCGACCCAUGCCGUAUUCCUUGGACAUACCAGUAAAUUUCAAUAGUGCUCACCCAUACAUACCUCUGUCUACUUGAGAGGGGUGAGCCUUUUCCUUUUUUUUUUUUAAGUGAGGUGUUUUUCUUUGUUGUUGUUUUUGUUUUUGUGUGUGUGCAAAUAAAGGAAAAUUUAUUCAAAAAAAUCACAGUUCCACCACUUUGAGGAAUGCAAGAAUGACGUUAUGGUAUCACAGUGGAUCGGAAGCUGGGUGCCGGUGUUGUUAGUCCUCCUGUGGGAGCAUGGAGAGUAGGUGCUCCCUCUCUUCUUGGUGCUCUAAUGUUUUCUGUAAGUCUGUAGAAGGAGAUGCUGUGUUGACCAGAACACCUUAAACCUAGAGGCUAAUGAUGAAGUCUCAUUUCCUCGUCUGUAAAGGGGAUACUGAUGGCAUCGACACACCAGGGUAUGGUGGCGAUUCGGUGGCUAGCAUACAAAAUUGUCACCUGGGAGGCGUUUAGUGAACAGUGGGUGCUAUCACAGGUAAGAAACACCAGAGCUGUGCUCAGGACCUGUAGAGAAGUGUUUGACUCCACAGUCUGUGCUGACACUUCUGGGCUCCAAUGCAUUGUAAGCUCGUGUUUGCUCUCAAGUAGAGAACAACCAGCUUUGUGUAGCUGCUUGUGCAUUCUAAGGAUGGUAAGACCAGAUCACAAGCAAUCGAGUCCCAUUAUUAAUGUUAAAUCAUAGCAGCAAUUUCCUUACUAACACAACCCGGCACUGAAGGGCUUUCCGUAGUAGAUGCUGAAUAGUUUUCUUGCAGUGCGUGACUGACACGUUAUUUCCAGUGUGUGCCAGUAGUUAUGAAGUGGCACGAGUCUGUCAAAUGUUAAGCAGCUCAGAAUUCCACACUGAGGACCGAUUGUAAAGGGAAAGGAGUGGAGGCUUGGGGCUGCUGAGGUUUUUGUCUUCAGACUUAAGUGUGGGUGUUAAGUUUGGAGGUAACUGCCUGUCCUAGAGCUGAGCUGAGGUGCCUGCCACCCUCCCCCCAAAACACUGAAUUUGGAGGGACACAAGCUUCUACCAUGUUUUUAAAUUAUUAUUACUAGAUUUUAAAGAACACUGUUUAGCACCUCAUGGGCCAAAGUAGCUGAAACCAGUAGUGGUUUUGUCAAAGCUAAAGAUGACAUCUACAGUUGUCAGUCAUCUAGGAGAGAACAUAGUAGCGAUGCAGUUCAUCCUUUGAUUGUAUGAGCAUUUAUGUUUGCCUUUCAAAUUCCUUGUAUGCUAUGUAUUGCUAAUAUUAUGUACAGCGUAUUUAUUAAAACAUUAAUUGUAAAUGUAAAGUUUGGGUUACUUUGGUGUUCCAAACAAUAAAAAAGUACACAAAAAAUGUUUGUUUGUGUUACCUAUCUGUCCUGUGUUACAAGGAUAUCUAUCCAGAGUGUGUUUCAGACACAAGCUGCCAGGUGGAGUGAACUCCUCUGGGAAGUGAAGUUGCUUCCUGACAUGUGCACUUGUUAAUUAUCAAACGAAGAGAUUGUCACCUUCUCACCUUCCCUGCUUUUGUCACACUGCUGCACAUGGUGAAGUUUACAAAUAAAAUUCUACUUCUGAGAAUAA